GAUGAACGCUGGCGGCGUGCCUAAUACAUGCAAGUCGAGCGAACAGACGAGGAGCUUGCUCCUUUGACGUUAGCGGCGGACGGGUGAGUAACACGUGGAUAACCUACCUAUAAGACUGGGAUAACUUCGGGAAACCGGAGCUAAUACCGGAUAAUAUCUUGAACCGCAUGGUUCAAUAGUGAAAGACGGCUUUGCUGUCACUUAUAGAUGGAUCUGCGCCGCAUUAGCUAGUUGGUAAGGUAACGGCUUACCAAGGCAACGAUGCGUAGCCGACCUGAGAGGGUGAUCGGCCACACUGGAACUGAGACACGGUCCAGACUCCUACGGGAGGCAGCAGUAGGGAAUCUUCCGCAAUGGGCGAAAGCCUGACGGAGCAACGCCGCGUGAGUGAUGAAGGUCUUCGGAUCGUAAAACUCUGUUAUUAGGGAAGAACAAAUAUGUAAGUAACUAUGCACGUCUUGACGGUACCUAAUCAGAAAGCCACGGCUAACUACGUG
RNAcentral lists this ribosomal RNA (497 nucleotides) under uncultured bacterium. Its description in RNAcentral is "partial 16S ribosomal RNA". It matches the Rfam family "Bacterial small subunit ribosomal RNA", at positions 28 to 507 of the family's 1533-position model. The record is from RNAcentral.